RNAcentral lists this ribosomal RNA (466 nucleotides) under uncultured bacterium. RNAcentral's name for it is "partial 16S ribosomal RNA". It matches the Rfam family "Bacterial small subunit ribosomal RNA", at positions 28 to 506 of the family's 1533-position model. The record is from RNAcentral.
GAUGAACGCUGACAGAAUGCUUAACACAUGCAAGUCAACUUGAAUUUGGGUUUUUAACUUAGGUUUGGGUGGCGGACGGGUGAGUAACGCGUAAAGAACCUGCCUCACAGCUAGGGACAACAUUUGGAAACGAAUGCUAAUACCUAAUAUUAUGAUAAUAGGGCAUCCUAUAAUUAUGAAAGCUAUAAGCGCUGUGAGAGAGCUUUGCGUCCCAUUAGCUAGUUGGAGAGGUAACGGCUCACCAAGGCGAUGAUGGGUAGCCGGCCUGAGAGGGUGAUCGGCCACAAGGGGACUGAGACACGGCCCUUACUCCUACGGGAGGCAGCAGUGGGGAAUAUUGGACAAUGGACCGAGAGUCUGAUCCAGCAAUUCUGUGUGCACGAUGAAGUUUUUCGGAAUGUAAAGUGCUUUCAGUUGGGAAGAAACAAAUGACGGUACCAACAGAAGAAGUGACGGCUAAAUACGU